RNAcentral lists this ribosomal RNA (585 nucleotides) under uncultured Cenococcum. RNAcentral's name for it is "eukaryotic LSU rRNA". The stretch from base 212 to 365 matches the Rfam family "5.8S ribosomal RNA". The record is from RNAcentral. Lineage: Eukaryota; Fungi; Ascomycota; Dothideomycetes; Gloniales; Gloniaceae.
AUUCUUGGUCAUUUAGAGGAAGUAAAAGUCGUAACAAGGUUUCCGUAGGUGAACCUGCGGAAGGAUCAUUACAGAAAGUAAACGCGGAUCGAACCGCGAACUUCUAAACCUUUGACGAUUGACUCAUGUUGCCUCGGCGGGUUCUCCCGCCAGAGGAUACAUCAAAACUCCUGUUUUAACGGUGUUGUCUGAGCUACAAGCAACGAAUCAAAACUUUCAACAACGGAUCUCUUGGUUCUGGCAUUGAUGAAGAACGCAGCGAAAUGCGAUAAGUAGUGUGAAUUGCAGAAUUCAGUGAAUCAUCGAAUCUUUGAACGCACAUUGCGCCCCUUGGUAUCCCGAGGGGCAUGCCUGUUCGAGCGUCAUUUCACCACUCAAGCCUGGCUUGGUGUUGGGCGACGUCCCCUUUAGGGACGCGCCUCGAAACGCUCGGCGGCGUGGCACCGGCUUUAAGCGUAGCAGAAUCUUUCGCUUUAAAAGUCGGGGCCCCGUCUGCCGGAAGACCUACUCGCAAGGUUGACCUCGGAUCAGGCAGGGAUACCCGCUGAACUUAAGCAUAUCAAUAAGCGGAGGAAAGAAACCAAC